GUGAUUAAAUCGAGCGUGUCUUCAUUGACCGCUCACCCUUCUCACCAUCCACAUACCCUGUGCACUGUUUAGCCUGAGCCGGUUUUCCGGUCCAGGUUAUCAUUUCAUACAAACUCUAGUCUUAUGAAUGUAAACGUUUUAAUAACAUAAUA
This 152-nucleotide unclassified non-coding RNA is filed under the name soil metagenome. RNAcentral's name for it is "partial internal transcribed spacer 1". The record is from RNAcentral.